AGAGAGAGAUGGAAGGAGCAAAGUCUGAUGUGGUUCUAAUAAUUGAUCAAGGAAACUCUAAAACUCCAUCAAUGGAAACUGAGCUCAAAGACCACAUCACUAAAGAAGAAAAAUCCCAAAACACAACCAAAAACCUUCGUCGUCUCAGCUUCUCCAAACCCAAAGCUCGAUUCAUCGAGUACAACUAUUCUUAUACUGCCCAGAAAACAACCGCUGCAUCCAACAAUAUGGAACCCUUGAUCGAGAAAGGCUACUAUUCUUCGACGAUGGACGAUGGCGAUGAAGAUAGU
This 290-nucleotide unclassified non-coding RNA is filed under the name Hevea brasiliensis (rubber tree). Lineage: Eukaryota; Viridiplantae; Streptophyta; Magnoliopsida; Malpighiales; Euphorbiaceae. The record is from RNAcentral.